CACGCACACACGCGCGGCAUAUCAAUAAGCGGAGGAAAAGAAACUAACAAGGAUUCCCUUAGUAACGGCGAGUGAAGCGGGAAGAGCUCAAAUUUGAAAUCUUCAAGGUUCUACCUUGACGAAUUGUAGUUUAUAGAAGUGUUUUCUGUUAGUGGAGUGGCAAAAGUUCUUUGGAAUAGGACAUCAUAGAGGGUGAGAAUCCCGUAUUUGGUCAUUCCUCCUAGCGUUGUGAUACACUUUCAACGAGUCGGAUUGUUUGGGAAUGCAGUCCAAAAUGGGUGGUAAAUUUCAUCUAAAGCUAAAUAUUGGCGAGAGACCGAUAGCGAACAAGUACCGUGAGGGAAAGAUGAAAAGAACUUUGAAAAGAGAGUUAAACAGUACGUGAAAUUGUCAAAAGGGAAGCGUUUGACACCAGUGUUGUUUUUCCGAAAAUCAAUUAAAAAUGGCUUGAUUUUGUGUUGUAUUGACCUUAAAAGCUUUCUGCACUUUUUUCAUGUCUUUUUUAAUGCACUUUUCGUUUAACAAGUCAACAUCAGUUUCUUUUGUUGUAAAGAGGUCAUUGGAAGGUGGCUUUCUUUUCGGAGAAAGUGUUUAUAGCCUUUUACCUCUGCAAUCGGAGAGAUUGAGGACAGCAGCGUAGACUCUUCGGGGUUAGAUACACUUGUGCUAAGCUAUAGCCUUGUAUAGACAACUUGUUGACUAUGCUCAGUCAUGUAGCUUACUCGCUUGUGCUAUUUUACCUACGCUUAGGAUGUUGAAGAUAUGCGCGACACG
This 774-nucleotide ribosomal RNA is filed under the name uncultured Neocallimastigales. Its description in RNAcentral is "partial large subunit ribosomal RNA". It matches the Rfam family "Eukaryotic large subunit ribosomal RNA", at positions 16 to 644 of the family's 3401-position model. Lineage: Eukaryota; Fungi; Neocallimastigomycota; Neocallimastigomycetes; Neocallimastigales. The record is from RNAcentral.